Non-coding RNA from Pogona vitticeps (central bearded dragon), 1107 nucleotides. Lineage: Eukaryota; Metazoa; Chordata; Lepidosauria; Squamata; Agamidae. The record is from RefSeq and is a predicted model, not a curated record.
UUACUUUAACACUUUAUUCCAUCUCAAUGACAAACUGUCCUUCCUUCUUGACAUCUGCGUUUGUGUCUAGCAUUAACAUCUAUAUUGUGAGUAUAGGAAUAUGGGGUUGGGUGGGUUCCCCUUCCUCAUCUUGAUACCAAUCACCAAAUGAUUAAUAUUGACACACCCUCCUUCUGCCAAAAAUAGGAUGGCCCAGGUCAACAGCACCUCAACACUUGAGACAUAUAAGGUGAGGCUUGGUGAUGUCACAAGGCAAAGCCUGGUGAUAUCAUAGAAUUGCCUACCCUUGUGAAUGUAAAAUAUGACACAAAGGCCCAAUAGCAAAGAGAUGAAGCUAGAGUGACAAAGAUCCAGAAGUAUGGAAGAAACAUCAAGAAAUCAACAGGAAGAAGAAUUGACACCUAGGCAAUUUGUAAAUGCUAUCUGAAAGUCAAGUCAAAAGCUAUUCACGAAGAGUCCCGCAGCCCAGAUGAACAGGAGGCAGCACAAAAUGAAAACGUAAAAUCAGACUGUGAACUUACAAAGAAGCAUUCAGCUUAAAGCUUCAAGAACACUAAAGAGCAUUAAUAACACUUUGUCUGAUCACUAGACAGUUGCCAAACGAAAGGCGUCAUAUGGCACAACUGAAGAGGCGAAGUCUAACCCAGAAACUGCAAGUCAACUUACCCUAAGCAACACUGCAGACAGUUUUUGCUCCAUUUGCUUCAAACCACACGGGGUGGAAAUCCACUGCCAGUCUGCAAUAUUGUUGCAUGAUAUAUUAAUAAGAUCGUUUUCCCCUCCUCAUUUUGCCAACAAAUGCCACGUAAAACCAGUCAUGGCAAAUCUAUGCUCAGUAUCAGAUUUGUGCAUCUUUCAACAUCUGCAAGACCAAAAAGGUCAAGGAUUCCAACACAUCCUUCCUUUUAUUUUAUAGCAGGGUUAUACACAAAAUGUAGUUAUUAGUAAACAGGUGUGUGGCAACUGUUUCCUCUCUCUCUCUAAGAGGAACCCUUUUGGAAACCGACCCAUUACACACAUAAAUUGUUGCGGGAACCUCUCAAAGCCAGCACAAAAGCUUCUCAAGAAAUCUUCACUGGGUCCGGCCGGUUGGGUCCUGCCAUAGGU